UAUAUCCAGGACAUCAGCACAUAGAACCAGUGAAAGGGUCCUCCCUCAUAGUGACGCAUGUCAUAGACUCAGAUUUAUACAAACAAAUGCUGAGCAAACCAUGAAGAGUCUCUGGUAUUUUCAACAAUAUCAUCACAGAGGAACUGUAUUGAUUUCCUUUAAAUCCAGCCAUUGCACCUGUGCACAGGUGUGAAGAGAAAGAUCAAUAAGUGAGACUUCUUUCCCAAGGGCCCUUCCCCUCCUCACCAGUUAAACCCAACAGCUGAGGAACUGUCAGCCUGUACUGAGCCUUUCUAUCAAAGAAAGGAUAGAAAGUUAUUAAAAACCUUCAGUGGUCCAAGAACCUGCUGCUCCCGGGUCCUCUCAUUUGAAGACACCCACCGCCUAAGGAUGAAGAGAAGCUCCUUCUUGCAGAUCUGAGGCUGAUUUCCCAACUCCCAGGAACACCCUACCCACAGCCUGUUCCCCAGACCCAGGAACUUUUCAAAUGUAGAGGAGCCUUUAGAAGGAAGCCUUGAGCAUGAGGACAGACCCCCCUCAUCCAACCACCACCUGACUCUGUGUGAACCUGGAACUGUUAGAAUGUCUGUGCUGUGAUAAAAGGUCAUCUCCCUACAAUGUUAUGAUACAGACCUCAAACCUACAAACAUGAGGAACUUCUGCCUCCAGGUUAACUGCUUACCCACUGUACAAGACACGUUACACACAGUCCAGGAGGCGGAGCUUCUGAGAUAUCUAGAAACAGCUUAGAGGCAAAAUGACAAAAUAAAGCAGCAACAACAAAUAAAACCAAUCUUCUCGAA
Homo sapiens (human) is the source of this 803-nucleotide long non-coding RNA. Ensembl annotates it as long intergenic non-protein coding RNA 1255. Lineage: Eukaryota; Metazoa; Chordata; Mammalia; Primates; Hominidae. The record is from Ensembl.